GUGUCACACUGCACAAAUGAACGGCAACUGCUCUUUUCAAAGCAGAUAACAGGAAGACAACUCAAAGAAGGCCAGACUUGGAGACUAGAGGGUGACAUCUUAGAAAGGACACAGAGGCAGGACACACAUUUGCGCAUCCUGAGCUUUUCAUUUGGCUGCUGGCAUCAACGGCAGGUGCAACAUUGGCUCACGAAGCUCAAGAAAGUGUGCUGAACCUGGACUAGCCAAUAUCCAAGGGCCCCAAGGGAGAGAAUCUGAGUCCAGAGUAACCAGCCAGGGAUGAAGGACGCCAGGACUCAUCUUGGACCAGCAGGUGUGAAAGAUGUUAGACAUGAAAAUGAAGAUUCUUCUUGGCGUUGCUGGCGGUCUACUGUUUAUUAUGUAUAUGCUGUUAAUUUAUGUUUAUUAUCUUACCUGUAAAGCAGCCAAGGAAGUCAAAUUCGCAAAUUGUCAAGAUGUUGAAAAGUGUGUUGAACCAAGAAAAUUUACUCAAGAAGAGAUCAUCGAGGUCAAACAGAUUUUUGAUAAUUCUUGUAACCUGCAGUACUAUGAGGAGUGUAGCACCUAUGCAGAUUCUGACACCCUGCCACCAUGUAUUUGUGGCCUCAGUGAUGGCUGAGAUGGAACCCAAAAUUAUCACAAUCAGUAUUUCUUUGUUAGUAGAAUAUUUUGUUUUUCAAAUUAAUUUCUGUUAUGUUUAUUCUUAUUUAUCCUUUAAUAUGGUUUUAUGUUCUUUGUAUAAAUGCACCAUAAUAAAAAUA
Arvicola amphibius (Eurasian water vole) is the source of this 761-nucleotide long non-coding RNA. RefSeq lists it as uncharacterized. Lineage: Eukaryota; Metazoa; Chordata; Mammalia; Rodentia; Cricetidae. The record is from RefSeq and is a predicted model, not a curated record. The transcript is spliced from 3 exons.